RNAcentral lists this ribosomal RNA (254 nucleotides) under uncultured bacterium. Its description in RNAcentral is "partial 16S ribosomal RNA". It matches the Rfam family "Bacterial small subunit ribosomal RNA", at positions 524 to 776 of the family's 1533-position model. The record is from RNAcentral.
UACAGAGGGUGCAAGCGUUGUCCGGAUUUACUGGGCGUAAAGCGUUUCGUAGGUGGCUUUAAAAGUUAUCUUUCAAAGUCCAAGGCUUAACCUUGGGAAGGGAGAUAAUACUGUAGGGCUUGAAAGUUAUCGGGGUUUUCGGAACUUGCGGUGUAGGGGUGAAAUCCGUUGAUAUCGCAAGGAACACCAAGGGCGAAGGCAGAAAACUAGGUAGUCUUUGACACUGAGGAACGACAGCUAGGGGAGCGAAAGGG